RNAcentral lists this ribosomal RNA (253 nucleotides) under uncultured bacterium. RNAcentral describes it as "partial 16S ribosomal RNA". It matches the Rfam family "Bacterial small subunit ribosomal RNA", at positions 524 to 776 of the family's 1533-position model. The record is from RNAcentral.
GACGUAGGGUGCAAGCGUUGUCCGGAAUUAUUGGGCGUAAAGAGUUCGUAGGCGGUUACUUAAGUCUGGUGUUAAAGACGGGAGCUCAACUCCCGCAUGGCAUUGGAAACUGGGUGGCUAGAGUGUGGUAGAGGUCUCGGGAAUUCCAGGUGUAGCGGUGAAAUGCGUAGAUAUCUGGAGGAACACCGGUGGCGAAAGCGGGUCUCUGGGCCGAAACUGACGCUGAGGAGCGAAAGCGUGGGGAGCGAACAGG